UCCCUGGUGGCUCAGAUGGUAAAAGCGCCUGCCUACAGUGCGGGAGACCCUGGGUUCAAUCCCUGGGUUGGGAA
Molecule: transfer RNA, 74 nt
Filed under: Bos taurus (domestic cattle)
Lineage: Eukaryota; Metazoa; Chordata; Mammalia; Artiodactyla; Bovidae
Also listed under: 3 other names
Rfam family: tRNA
About the family: Transfer RNA (tRNA) molecules are approximately 80 nucleotides in length. Their secondary structure includes four short double-helical elements and three loops (D, anti-codon, and T loops).
Source: Rfam by way of RNAcentral